RNAcentral lists this long non-coding RNA (1544 nucleotides) under Monodelphis domestica (gray short-tailed opossum). RNAcentral describes it as "lncRNA (ENSMODG00000041287.1)". The record is from RNAcentral. Lineage: Eukaryota; Metazoa; Chordata; Mammalia; Didelphimorphia; Didelphidae.
CACUUUUCUGCGUCUCAUCUGUACCAAUGAGGACUUAGCUUGACUUAGGACAGCCCAGAGGUCUGUCCUUUUUUUGCCCAUGUCUGUUGAAGGCCAUCUCCUCAGAUAAUUAAAUCUUGAGUUUGAUGCAGUCCUUUCAAAAUCUUGUUAAACUGAAUAGGGUGGAGAAUGUGGAAUUUCCAAGACCUGAUUCUGUUAUUCCAAGUAUCUCCAUUGUUAUUGAUCAGGAAAAGCUAAGUCAGAUCUUCUAAAGAAUGGUCUGAUUAGGGUGGAAAGAAGCCAGCAUCUUUCCCUCUACCAAGCUCCUCAUGGCAGUUCUUAUUUCACUCUUUCCAGGAAGGAAAAAGAAGCAGAGGGAGCAGCAGGUUCUGGCUUUAUACCAGGAAAGCAAGAAAAACCAACGCCUCUGACAUCAUCAAUCAUCAAGAUGAGAGUUCACAUUUAUGGAGGGUAUGUAAUGGGGAGACUGACUAAUGAGGGCACAGUCCUUGGAAAAUGCUCCAUUUGCCUUUCCUGGGGGGCAAAGAGGAUUUACAACAAUGGCUGGCUGCCUAUGGUUCAGUCGACUGCUUGGAAAGCCUCUUUCUAGAGAUGUGUGAUGGAGCGGCUGGUACUGUGCGAUAAUGAAGUCUUCUAAUUGACUGAGGAGUAAAAAGGACCAAGGACUCAGCAAGUGCCAACCCAGAACUAAACCCUAUACAAAAAAGAAUGACCCUCCACUAGCUCACUCUCCUUUGUUUCCUGACAAGUGUCAAAGAACUGCUAUGAGCUGCUGGGUGGAUGGAAAGGAGGCUGCCCUAUCUCCCACUUAGGUACCAUGUGCUUGUGAGUUCAUGGUGUCUCUGUUGCUUUGAUGUUUGUUUGUUUUUUCUCAAAACUUUUGUCUUAUAAUUAACAGUAUGCAUUGGCUCCAAGUCAGAAAUAAUGCAAGGUAAGAGAAUUAAAAAUAUGAGUCUAUAUAGUUUUAGAAUAGAUGGCACCUAAACUUUCUCUCUUAUUUUUAAACCCUCACCUUCUGUCUUAGAAUCAAUACUGUGUAUUGGUUCCAAGGCAGAAGGGCAGUAAUGGUUAGGCAAUGGAGGUUAAGUGACUUGUCCAGGGUCACCCAUCUAGGAAGUGUCUGAGGUCAUAUUUGAACCCAGGACCUCCUGUCUCCAGGCCUAGUUCUCAAUCCACUGAGCCACCUGGCUGCACUGUUGCCCCCAUUCAUAUUUUUUUUUGGUAAAUAUACAUCCAUUUUACUUAGAUUGUCAGAUUUAUUGGUAUAUAAUUGGGCAAAAUAGCUCCUAAUGAUUGUUUUAAUUUCCUCUUCAUUGGGUAGUGAAUUCACCCUUUUCAUUUUUGAUACUGAUUAUUUGGUUUUCUUCUUUUUCUUUUUUAAAUCAAAUUAACCCAUUUGGGUUUUUAAUAGAAAGAAUAUUAUGAAAUGAGAGUGUCCAGGUGAACAAAUGAGCCCCAGAGACGCAUCAAAGACAUCAGCAGCCCUGCUGGCAAUCCAUGACAGUGGCAGAAUCCAUUAAAGUUGGCACCAAUAGAUGAUGGAG